AACGCACCUUGCGCCCUUUGGCUAUUCCGAAGGGCAUGCCUGUUUGAGUAUCAUGAACACCUCAACUCUCGUGGCUUGCCACGAUGAGCUUGGACCUUGGGGGUCUUGCUGGCAUAUGUGUGUCAGCUCCUCUCAAAUGAAUCAGCUUGCCAGUGUUUGGUGGCGUCACAGGUGUGAUAACUAUCUACGCUUGUGGCUUUCCACCAGGUAACCUUCAGUGAUGGAGGUUCACUGGAGCUCAUAAAUGUCUCUCCUUGGCGAGGACAGAUUUUGACCGUUUGAUCUCAAAUCAGGUAGGACUACCCGCUGAACUUAA
This 316-nucleotide ribosomal RNA is filed under the name uncultured Tomentella. RNAcentral describes it as "eukaryotic LSU rRNA". Lineage: Eukaryota; Fungi; Basidiomycota; Agaricomycetes; Thelephorales; Thelephoraceae. The record is from RNAcentral.